Molecule: non-coding RNA, 906 nt
Organism: Cinara cedri
Lineage: Eukaryota; Metazoa; Arthropoda; Insecta; Hemiptera; Aphididae
Source: the annotation of a GenBank genome assembly
CUUAAAAUAAAUAAUUUAAAAUUAUACUAUACUUUUUUUUAAAAAUUCAAAAUAGCCAUUUUGUAAAAUAGAUUUCUAGAUAAAUUUUGGUGGUUGAAACUUUUGUUAAAGUAUAGUCUUUAAUUUUCUAUGAUUUUUUUGAAAAUUUUCUUUUCAAUAACAAUAUUGUUUAUCAACAUAAAUUACCAUUAUUGAUUGAUUUAAAACUACCCCAUCACCAAGGUCUUAGAAUAUAACUAUAACAUAAUAUUAUUGCAUGAUAUUAACUCAUGGAAAAGAAAAUUCUGACUAAUAACUGAAUAGCCACAAUAGGUAAUAUUCACAUUACCAAAAACUUCAAUAAAUCCUAGAAAAUAAAAGACCAUACAUAAACAAAAGUUUCAACCACCAAAAAUUUUCUAAAAAUCUAUUUUAAAAAAUGGCUAUUUUGAAUUUUUUAAAAAAAAUUAAAGUAAGUUUUAAAUUUUAAGUCCCCCUCCCUUAAAAAAAAAAAAUCAUAUAUAAACUGUAGGCCUGAGACUUACUAAUUACUUAAAAAAAAUGUAUGUCAAAAUUAUUGAAUAGAAUAAAAGUUAAUGCAUUUAUUGAAUCCUCGUGAGACACUCUGUAAAGCAAGUACCAAUGUAGGUACUAUUGCGAACCAAGAAACAAUUUUGAGAGUUCAGUUGAUAGUAUUACUUCGACAACAAUAUUACCUAAUACCUGCUAUAUUAUGGUAAAAUAAUUACAUAGGUAUUAUAAAUUUUUUUGAAUAAUAUUUGUUUAAUAUUGUAUCCAUUUUCCCGUUUUUCCAUUUAUUGGAAAAACUCCUGGGAAAAUAAAUAAAUGAUCUUAAAGUACCUCCCCAGUCAGAUUUCCUUUAGGAAAAAGCACUAUCAUUGUAGAUUGGAGCAAAAUUACUAGUAC